GAUGAACGCUGGCGGCGUGCCUAAUACAUGCAAGUCGAGCGAACGGACGAGAAGCUUGCUUCUCUGAUGUUAGCGGCGGACGGGUGAGUAACACGUGGAUAACCUACCUAUAAGACUGGGAUAACUUCGGGAAACCGGAGCUCAUACCGGAUAAUAUUUUGAACCGCAUGGUUCAAAAGUGAAAGACGGUCUUGCUGUCACUUAUAGAUGGAUCCGCGCUGCAUUAGCUAGUUGGUAAGGUAACGGCUUACCAAGGCAACGAGGCAUAGCCGACCUGAGAGGGUGAACGGCCACAGUAGGACUGGGACAAGGGCCAGACUCCGACGGGAAGCAGGAGUUGGGAAUUUUCCGCGAAGGGCGAAAGGCUUACGGGACAACGGCGCGUGAGUGAAUAAAGGCUUCGGGUCGGAAAACUCUUGUUUUAGGGAAGAAAAUGUGUUUAAGUAACUGUGCACAUCUUGACGGUACCUAAUCAGAAAGCCACGGCUAACUACGUG
RNAcentral lists this ribosomal RNA (497 nucleotides) under uncultured bacterium. RNAcentral's name for it is "partial 16S ribosomal RNA". It matches the Rfam family "Bacterial small subunit ribosomal RNA", at positions 28 to 507 of the family's 1533-position model. The record is from RNAcentral.